RNAcentral lists this ribosomal RNA (712 nucleotides) under Pseudo-nitzschia fraudulenta. Its description in RNAcentral is "partial Bacterial large subunit ribosomal RNA". It matches the Rfam family "Bacterial large subunit ribosomal RNA", at positions 17 to 730 of the family's 2925-position model. Lineage: Eukaryota; Bacillariophyta; Bacillariophyceae; Bacillariales; Bacillariaceae. The record is from RNAcentral.
GCGUUUGGUGGAUGCCUUGGCAGUAAGAGGCGAUGAAGGACGCGUAUUAGACUGCGAAAUGCUUCGGCGAGCCGUCAAAUAGGCUUUGACCCGGAGGUGUCCGAAUGGGGAAACCCCGCUGCAUGAGAGUGCAGUGACAGCGUGGUGAGUAAAGUAGCCAUGUCUGAGCGAACCGAGGGAACUGAAACAUCUAAGUACCUCGAGGAAAGUAAAUCAACCGAGAUUCCGCAAGUAGCGGCGAGCGAACGCGGACCAGGCCAAACCGGUAUGCUUGCAUACCGGGGUUGUAGGACUUGCAUCAAGGGGAAACUGGUAGAGGAACGAUCUGGGAAGGUCGACCAUAGAGAGUGAAAGUCUCGUACUUAAAACUGGUGGAACUGGGCAAGUAUCCUGAGUAGGACGGGACACGAGAAAUCUUGUCUGAAUCUGGGGGGACCACCCUCCAAGCCUAAAUACUACUGACUGACCGAUAGUGAACUAGUACCGUGAGGGAAAGAUGAAAAGAACCCCGAUAAGGGGAGUGAAAUAGAACUUGAAACCAUGUACCUACAAUCGGUGGAAGCGCUAUUGUAAAGCGUGACCACGUACCUUUUGCAUUAUGAGCCAUCGAGUUACGAUGUGUAGCGAGGUUAAGCCUUUAGGUGUAGCCGUAGGGAAACCGAGUCUGAAUAGGGCGAAUAGUUGCAUGUCGUAGACCCGAAACGGGAUGAGC